GCUCAAGAAACUGCUCUUGCUUCCACCACGGAUAGGUCUAUUUCCAUCACUUUGACCGACCUGGAUGUGCUUGAUUGUCCCAUUUGCUAUGAAUCCUUGACCAUCCCCGUCUUUCAGUGCUCUGGUUUGGGGGUCUAGCGCAAAACACAAGCCCCAAAGAGUUGGAAAGGAGCAUCUGCUCGAAGAUGAGGAUAUUGUUCAGAUUAUCAAAAAGGUGUGAUUUGGCAGGAACUCAGAAAUAUGUGCAACCUUAGUAUCAAGAUAUCGUUUGUAGGACUAAAGCUUUU
Rosa rugosa (rugosa rose) is the source of this 287-nucleotide long non-coding RNA. RefSeq lists it as uncharacterized. Lineage: Eukaryota; Viridiplantae; Streptophyta; Magnoliopsida; Rosales; Rosaceae. The transcript has 3 exons. The record is from RefSeq and is a predicted model, not a curated record.